RNAcentral lists this transfer RNA (72 nucleotides) under Araneus ventricosus. RNAcentral describes it as "tRNA-Trp". The record is from RNAcentral. Lineage: Eukaryota; Metazoa; Arthropoda; Arachnida; Araneae; Araneidae.
UGACCCGGACGUGAUUUGAACACGCAGCCUUCUGAUCUGGAGUCAGACGCGCUACCGCUGCGCCACCGAGUC